Long non-coding RNA from Scylla paramamosain (green mud crab), 1906 nucleotides. RefSeq lists it as uncharacterized. The record is from RefSeq and is a predicted model, not a curated record. Lineage: Eukaryota; Metazoa; Arthropoda; Malacostraca; Decapoda; Portunidae. The transcript is spliced from 4 exons.
CCUUCCCUCCCUCACAUCUUCAACCCACCCCUCCUUCCCUCACCUGAGCGCGGGAUCAACUCAGCUCGUCUGGCAAUGAAACACUUGUUGAGUUGUGUUGAUCUUGGGGCGAACCUCGGAACUCCAGGCAGGGAAUGACAACACAGUGUUUAAAUAAAGUGUGGGUGAUCCGGUCGUGUUUUACAUUAACUCCAGAGGCUGGCGGGAAGGGAUGGAGUUAAAAUUUUCAUUAUAAUUUGAUUACGUCUCGUUUGGUCCGAUAUUGCAACGCGAAUAAUCUCUCUCUACUCCUCCUCUUCCUCCUCCAGUCUUGAUUGGUCCGAAACAGAAAUGCGAUGCUUCGAAACUUGAUGACGAUUUCGGUUCGGCUUUACUUACGCAGCUCGGUACUUCGUUAGGGCGAGUCGAGUCCGUAGUCGAGCACCGCAUAGAAAAUGGGAGGCGUGGAGUGCUUUGUGUGACGUCAGUACUCGUGAAGCUACGGGACGCGGUGGUGGUGGUGGUGGUGGUGAUAGUGGUGGUGAUGUUUGUUGUGGUACAGUAGUGGUGGUUGUGAAGAAACGUAGGUAGCGGGCGGCGUGGGCCAGACGAAGCAGCAUCGCCUCGCCCACACACGUAUUGCUUUUUCAUGAUGGUGCUCGCUGACUCUGAACUCGCCUGUGGUUAUGAGGAGGAGGAAAAAGAAGAAGAAAAGGAGGAGGGCAGGAGGAAAAGACCAGAGGAGGAGGAGGAAGUAGAAAAUUAAGGAGUAAGAAGAAAAGGUCAUCAGAGGAAGAGGAGGAGGAAGAAAGAGGUCAUCAGAAGAGGAAGAAAAGAAAGGAGUAGGGAAAAAAUCAAAGGAGGAGGAGGAGGAAGAAAUGAGCAUCAGAGGAAAAGGAGGAAGGAAAGGAGGGCAGAGGAGGAGAAGGAAGAAAAGGAGGACAGAGGAGGAGGAGGAGAAAGAAGAAAAUGAGAUCAUCAGAAGAGGAAGAAAAGGAAAGAGUAAGGAGAAAAGGAAAUCAGAAGAGGAGGAGGAAGAUGAAAAGGGGUUAACUGAGGAAGAGUAGAAAGAAAAGGUCACCACAAGAGGAAGAAAAGGAAGGAGUAGAAGAAAAUGAGAUCAGAGGAGGAAGAGGAGGAGGAAAAAGAAAAGAUGAUCAUCAGAGGAAGAGUUGGAAGAAGUAGGAAGAAAAGAAGGUCAUGAGAAAAGGGGGAGGAGGAAGCAGGAGGUGGUCUGAAAAGAGUUAUGGCCAGCUCAGAUUGUACGUGAAGGCAGUGAAUUAUGUUGUGUUGGCUUGAAGUGACUCUUGAAGCGACUCUCCCAGACUCUCCCAGGCCCCGCCAAGACAAUGGACGCGUGACUGCUGUGGAAGACUCGCACCUUUGUCCACCCAGAUCAGAGGAGAUUACAUUGGGCAAAGAUAAAACUAAAGCUUAAUCUCUAACAGGAGAGAAGUAAGGAGGUACCGCGCUCGAACACCAGCCACACCACCCACCUCGCCUCGCCUCGCCUUCCUCCCACAAGUUUGCAGCGGAGUCCGGGCCGCUCGGUAAACUUUGGUGCGGCCACCUGCUGCCGCCGCCAAAGAGGUGAGUCGGGGAUGGAGGGCCAAGUUAGCCUCCGUCCCACCGCACUAACUUGCCCUUGUGUUGCUGAAGAGGUGAUGGGGCCGCCGCGACGCUCAAAGCUCCGCCAAUUUACUGCCCUUCCCUUCCUCUUGUCCCCCCUCCUUCCCCUCCGCUAACUCUCUUCCUGGAGUUGUUAAUGGGUCCUCGUCUGGCGCCCCUCCAGCGGGACGUGUACGGCGUGCAGCGACCCUCUUUGUCACGGAAUUAAAUUACUUGUACUGUCAGGAAAAGCCGCCUCCAUGUCCCCAGGGAGUGAGGGAUUAAGGACUUUUAUCAUUAUUAUUAUUAUUAUUUUUAU